This 606-nucleotide long non-coding RNA is filed under the name Heterocephalus glaber (naked mole-rat). RNAcentral's name for it is "lncRNA (ENSHGLG00000050771.1)". The record is from RNAcentral. Lineage: Eukaryota; Metazoa; Chordata; Mammalia; Rodentia; Bathyergidae.
CUCUUUCUCUCCUCUCCUCCCUUCCCUUCUUCCCUGGGCCCUGGGACCCCUUUCCUUGGGUCCUGUCAUCUGGAGGAAAGAUGAGGAAACUGAAGCUCAGUUGCUUACCUGAAUUGCUCAGAGCCACACACCUACAAAGCAGUGGAGCUAACCUACCUGACUUUCAGACCACCGCUGCUUCCUCCAGGGCAGCCAGCGCCACAUGUAGCCACUGAGAUGUUGGAAGGAAGUGGAUCCAAACUGAGACGAGCCAUGUGACAUAAAUGCUGGGCUUCUGUGACUUUGCAUGAAGAAAACAAUGUACACUAUCUUACUAAUAAUUUUAACAUAGGUUUUGUGUUGAAAUGACAUUGGGCUAAAGAGAAUAUAUUAUUUAGAUUGACUUACCCUGUUUCUACUUAUUUUUUAAUGUGACUACUAGAAACUUAAAAUUCCACAUGGGGCUCCUAUUUUAUCUCUAUUGCACAGUACUGGAACUAGAUUAUUGGCCAGAGGAAAGACUGUCAAUUCUGGCUCAUUCACCAAAAACUAAUUCAUCCAGCAAUGUACAACAUUUGUAUCUAAUGAAAUUAUUUCUAACACUUUUUAAAAAUUUGUCCUCUUGAA